GUUAACAUGUUUAUAUUGUGUUAAUGCAUGACAUUUAUUAUCAGGUUACAUUUUUUGGGGGGGAACACCAUUAAUCAAUUUAUUUUCCUCUAGGAACCUUUUUAAAGCACACGUUUCCUGCAAGGAACCUUUUCAAGCAAACGUUUCCGCUAGGAACCUUUUAAAGCACACGUUUCCGCAAGGACCCUUUUAAAGGCAGAACACAACACCGCUACAGUCAAUGUUUGUGCCUUUACAUUGAACUCCUUUACAUCGCUGAAGACCGUGUGUCUCUAGCACAAAUCAUGUCAAAGUUAUGGCCAAUAUUACCGGAGCGAUGUUCUUUCUUCCUGCCGUGGAUUUGUGCGCCAGUCGCGGGGACGCUUUCAACUACUCACGAACAAUCCAUUUUUGGGGGGGGGGGUUGAUAACAAACGACAUUGUUUAGUUAGCAAGUCAUGUUACCUAGCCUGAUAUAACUGACCACUGACUAGGCUAUGCACAAAUUUGGAUGGCACAGGAAGAACAUGAAAAAGAAUGGGCUUCUCGAAGAGAAGCUUGUAACGUCUGCUUCCCAACUCAAACUCUCAAAAAAACGUAGAUCCCCCUGAACGCAGCUCACUCUCCAGAUCCCCGACACCUGUAUUCUGAUCACCUGUUCACACACCUCCUAUCGGAUUUCCUGUUAUCAACCUGUUGCCUGAUCACCCGGACAACGUUAAUAUAGGACAGACACUUCAUAACAAAACUUCCUUUACAUUUUUUGGGGUGGGUCUAUCUGUUAUCCAUGUAGUAAAUCUGCGUUUCUACUGGCUAAUAUCAAUAAUGCCAUAUUCAAUGUUUCAUCAAAUAAUGUUUUUUUUUUAAUUAUAACUUCUUAUACCUUCUAGGGUCUUAAAAAGCUAAAUCAACUAGCUAAAUGGUCCUUGGUAUGACCAUGUUAAAAACAACUCCAUAAUAUGUCAGCUUAGAAAAACCUUUCUUUGGGGCCAAAUUUGAGGGGGGAAAAAGGGGGGGGGAAAAAUAAUAAUUGAAUUGAAAUGUCGCUCUGGAUAAGUGUGUCUGCUAAAUGACUAAAAUGUAAAAAUGUAUUAACUAAUGCCAUUAACUCGAUUCAUUAUUUAAAUAGUUUGACGACAGCUCUAAUAUAUAUAGUUCCUUCAGAAAGUAUUCACACCCCUCGACAUAUUCACAUUUUUAUUAUGUUACAACCUUGAAUUUUCCAAAAUGGAUUAAAUAAAUAAAAUAAAAAAAUAAUCUCACCCAUCUACACACAAUAACCCAUAAUGACAAAAGUGAAAACAUUACACGGGUGAUAUUCUCCUGGCCGUAAAGGGUUAACGAGGUAUUAAAACACCUGAAAUUACACAGACCAUACAGCCAUACAGGAAGAGUCAGACAGACAGACAGACAGACAGACAGACAGACAGACAGACAGACAGACAGACAGACAGACAGACAGACAGACAGACAGACAGACAGACUGCUAGCCAGCCAGCCAUACAGGAAGAGUCUGAUACACAAUACCAGUCUGAUAGUUAUUUCCCUGGUGGUUAUAAUGGGACUUGGUGUAACAGUUAGCCUGGUGUGACAGACAGACAGACAGACAGACAGACAGACAGACUGCUAGCCAGACAGACAGACUGACAGACUGCUAGACAGACAGACAGACAGGCAGGCAGGCAGACAGACAGACAGACUGCUAGCCAGCCAGACAGGCAGGCAGAAGGACAGACAGGCAGACAGACAGACUGCUAGCCAGCCAGCCAGACAGACAGACAGACAGACAGACGGACGGACGGACGGACGGGCGGACGGGCGGGCGGGCGGACGGACGGGGUUGGAGGUGAGAGAGUUCUCUAACGGAACAUCAUUAUUAAGUCUGUAAUAGUAUAAUAAUAAUAAUACUCAUUAAAGUGGAACCGACCAAGUGUUUUAACUACUUUGCAGAUAUGAAAUAAAUAGACAAUCACAAUAUCAGUAAAAAAAAACAAAAUAAAUCCCAGUUUACGCUAUAAAAACCAACUUUAUAACAUUCCAUGAUGUAGAGUAAGGCAUUGUUGGCAGAACAGAUGAAUGCAGUUCAAAUGCAUGAUUAAUAGAAUUCACCAAUACAUUUCUUGGUCGUUCCCAAAAAACAUAUUGCUAUCAGGUUGUAAAUCAACAGCUGGCCUGCUACAUUGUUUGCUGCCUUCCCAUUCGGGAUGCAUUGUUUCAGUUUCAAUGAAACCAAAAAACAUACUUAAGUUAUAAAGGCUGGGAAUGUCAAUACAAUCAAACUAGCAAAGGGCAACGAUCACAAGUCAGUGUUAACGUGGCUAAUAGGCUAACGUAUCUAUUUAUGUAGAAAGCUAAAAACACAGAGGCUAACGUUAGCUAGCUAGCUGUUAGGAGGAUGUCAUGUCAGUGGAGGAGAGGGUGAGUGACUGACUGUUUCCCCCUCAUAUUGUUUUUCGGUGGCUACACACAGCUAGAGAAUGCAGGUGUAAUUUCGUUAGCUAGCAAGAAAUGUGAAUCGCUUCGCUAGCUAGCUAUGUUGAAGUUGAACGACUGCUUAUCGAGUUAGCAUAUCUCUUGCGUUUCGCAAAUUUACUCUUGUCUAUCUACUCUGAUUUCAGAGCACUCUCGUCUGAGUGUGCCAGAGCGCAGAAUAACUGAUGAAUUUACCAAUAACUAAUUUACGAACGCGCAAAACCCACUGAAUAUGACCGGGGUCGGUAAACGUCGGCAAAAAAAAGUCAUAAUUAGUCAAGGACGUUCUAGAUAACAUGUAAACAGCUUAACCAGCUCUGCUAGGGAGAGUAAAACGGUCACACUGAGGUGUUCUCUCAUUCGUUCUCCGGAAAUAGAUAGCUAACAAGCUAGCCAACUUUUGCCAGUUAGCUUGGGUGCUUGGUUGGGACAAGCAUGCAUUGGCAGGCAAGCUGCAGAAGGCUAGCAUUAGUUCUUCAUCUGGCUAGCAUUAGUUAUUGAUCUGGCUAGCAUUAGUUGUUGAUCUGGCUAGCAUUAGUUGUUGAUCUGGCUAGCAUUAGUUGUUGAUCUGGCUAGCAUUAGUUAUUGAUCUGGCUAGCAUUAGUUGUUGAUCUGGCUAGCAUUAGUUGUUGAUCUGGCUAGCAUUAGUUGUUGAUCUGGCUAGCAUUAGUUAUUGAUCUGGCUAGCAUUAGUUGUUGAUCUGGCUAGCAUUAGUUGUUGAUCUGGCUAGCAUUAGUUGUUGAUCUGGCUAGCAUUAGUUGUUGAUCUGGAUAGCAUUAGUUGUUGAUCUGGCUAGCAUUAGUUGUUGAUCUGGAUAGCAUUAGUUAUUCAUCUGGCUAGCAUUAGUUGUUGAUCUGGCUAGCAUUAGUUGUUGAUCUGGCUAGCAUUAGUUGUUGAUCUGGCUAGCAUUAGUUGUUGAUCUGGAUAACAUUAGUUAUUCAUCUGGCUAGCAUUAGUUGUUGAUCUGGCUAGCAUUAGUUGUUGAUCUGGCUAGCAUUAGUUGUUGAUCUGGCUAGCAUUAGUUGUUGAUCUGGCUAGCAUUAGUUGUUGAUCUGGCUAGCAUUAGUUGUUGAUCUGGCUAGCAUUAGUUGUUGAUCUGGCUAGCAUUAGUUAUUGAUCUGGCUAGCAUUAGUUGUUCAUCUGGCUAGCAUUAGUUGUUGAUCUGGCUAGCAUUAGUUGUUGAUCUGGCUAGCAUUAGUUGUUGAUCUGGAUAGCAUUAGUUAUUGAUCUGGCUAGCAUUAGUUAUUCAUCUGGCUAGCAUUAGUUGUUGAUCUGGCUAGCAUUAGUUGUUGAUCUGGCUAGCAUUAGUUGUUGAUCUGGCUAGCAUUAGUUGUUGAUCUGGCUAGCAUUAGUUGUUGAUCUGGCUAGCAUUAGUUGUUGAUCUGGCUAGCAUUAGUUGUUGAUCUGGCUAGCAUUAGUUGUUGAUCUGGCUAGCAUUAGUUAUUGAUCUGGCUAGCAUUAGUUAUUGAUCUUGUUGUUGAUGUGUAUAACAGAGAGAGAGAGUCUACCUUUUCAUGGUUAUUGAUGUGUAUAACUGAGAGAGAGUCUGCCUUUUCAUGGUUAUUGAUGUGUAUAACUGAGGGAGAGAGAGUCUACCUUUUCAUGGUUAUUGAUGUGUAUAACUGAGAGAGAGUCUACCUUUUCAUGGUUAUUGAUGUGUAUAACAGAGAGAGAGAGAGAGAGUCUACCUUUUCAUGGUUAUUGAUGUGUAUAACUGAGAGAGAGUCUACCUUUUCAUGGUUAUUGAUGUGUAUAACUGAGGGAGAGAGUCUACCUUUUCAUGGUUAUUGAUGUGUAUAACUGAGAGAGAGUCUACCUUUUCAUGGUUAUUGAUGUGUAUAACUGAGAGAGAGAGUCUACCUUUUCAUGGUUAUUGAUGUGUAUAACUGAGAGAGAGAGAGAGAGUCUACCUUUUCAUGGUUGUUGAUGUGUAUAACUGAGAGAGAGUCUACCUUUUCAUGGUUAUUGAUGUGUAUAACUGAGGAGAGAGAGAGAGUCUACCUUUUCAUGGUUAUUGAUGUGUAUAACUGAGAGAGAGAGUCUACCUUUUCAUGGUUAUUGAUGUGUAUAACUGAGAGAGAGAGAGAGUCUACCUUUUCAUGGUUGUUGAUGUGUAUAACUGAGAGAGAGAGAGUCUACCUUUUCAUGGUUAUUGAUGUGUAUAACUGAGAGAGAGAGUCUACCUUUUCAUGGUUGUUUGACCAAUAGGACUGGCAAGUUCCCAAACGUAAGAGGACUCUCCCGUGGUAUUUACAUAUUUGCAGAAAUCCAUUCAGGUGUGUAUUUUGUGGCUUUUGCCGAAUGCAUUCUAAUGUCUCGCUGUUGCAAAUACCUGUAAACACACAGUCCAGUUCAAAGUGAAUGAUGGCAGGCCCGUGUGGCAAAUGGCUUUGUUUGCAUAUAGGUCCUACCGUACCUCUGAUUGGCUAAAAGGCCCACCAAUCUGCGUAGACUCCGGUCCUGGACGAGACAGAUGUUUUUAUUAGGUUUUAUGUACUGCAGUGUCUGUUAAUUGUCCAAACGCACAGCCGCUUUCCCACUCUAUAUAUUACUACAGAAUUUUCACAAAAUGCCUUCCUAUAUACGCAAUUCCCUAAACAUUCUACGAAUGUAUUAAAAAUGUUAAAAAGACAAUAUCUAAGCGCUCGCUUGUCAGAAAAUGUGAAGAAAAAAAAAGAAAAAAACACAUAGCAUAUUCUUCCUGGGGGUGAAUAUGAACAGAUUUUAAUAAGAUUUAAUGUUGCUAAAAUGUUGUCA
RNAcentral lists this long non-coding RNA (5208 nucleotides) under Salmo salar (Atlantic salmon). RNAcentral's name for it is "lncRNA (ENSSSAG00000109451.1)". Lineage: Eukaryota; Metazoa; Chordata; Actinopteri; Salmoniformes; Salmonidae. The record is from RNAcentral.